UACGGAGGGUGCAAGCGUUAUCCGGAUUCACUGGGUUUAAAGGGUGCGUAGGUGGGCCUGUAAGUCAGUGGUGAAAUCUCCGGGCUUAACCCGGAAACUGCCAUUGAUACUAUAGGUCUUGAAUUUUCUGGAAGUCAGCGGAAUAUGUCAUGUAGCGGUGAAAUGCUUAGAUAUGACAUAGAACACCAAUUGCGAAGGCAGCUGGCUACAGGAACACUGACACUGAGGCACGAAAGCGUGGGGAUCAAACAGG
Molecule: ribosomal RNA, 253 nt
Filed under: uncultured bacterium
Lineage: Bacteria
Description: partial 16S ribosomal RNA
Rfam family: Bacterial small subunit ribosomal RNA
Source: RNAcentral